GUGCUCACUAAUGCAGCACACAUGAACAAUAAGAAUCAAUAAAGAAAAGAUUAGCACAGGCACAAGGAUGACACAUGACUGUUAAGUGUUUCCACAUUUUCAU
Molecule: small nuclear RNA, 103 nt
Organism: Scomber japonicus (chub mackerel)
Lineage: Eukaryota; Metazoa; Chordata; Actinopteri; Scombriformes; Scombridae
Source: RefSeq, a predicted model, not a curated record